This 471-nucleotide ribosomal RNA is filed under the name uncultured organism. Its description in RNAcentral is "partial 16S ribosomal RNA". It matches the Rfam family "Bacterial small subunit ribosomal RNA", at positions 333 to 796 of the family's 1533-position model. The record is from RNAcentral.
ACACUCCUGCGGGAGGCAGCAGUGGGGAAUUUUGGACAAUGGGCGAAAGCCUGAUCCAGCAAUGCCGCGUGAGUGAAGAAGGCCUUCGGGUUGUAAAGCUCUUUUGUCAGGGAAGAAACGGUGAGAGCUAAUAUCUUUUGCUAAUGACGGUACCUGAAGAAUAAGCACCGGCUAACUACGUGCCAGCAGCCGCGGUAAUACGUAGGGUGCAAGCGUUAAUCGGAAUUACUGGGCGUAAAGCGUGCGCAGGCGGUUUUGUAAGUCUGAUGUGAAAUCCCCGGGCUCAACCUGGGAAUUGCAUUGGAGACUGCAAGACUAGAAUCUGGCAGAGGGGGGUAGAAUUCCACGUGUAGCAGUGAAAUGCGUAGAUAUGUGGAGGAACACCGAUGGCGAAGGCGGCCCCCUGGGUCAAGAUUGACGCUCAUGCACGAAAGCGUGGGGAGCAAACAGGAUUAGAUACCCCAGUAGUCC